RNAcentral lists this long non-coding RNA (1651 nucleotides) under Nothobranchius furzeri (turquoise killifish). RNAcentral describes it as "lncRNA (ENSNFUG00015004372.1)". The record is from RNAcentral. Lineage: Eukaryota; Metazoa; Chordata; Actinopteri; Cyprinodontiformes; Nothobranchiidae.
GGCUAAUGCUAGCACAAUAUGCUAGUAAAGUUAGCACCCAGAUUAAUGUGGAUUUGGCCGAUUUUCGUGGAAUAAAACGUGAUCUGGAAAUUCUGAUCAACGCCUUCUUUUUAGCCAGAUGAUAACUUUCCACUGAUUGUAGCAGCAGAGAGCCCGUGUGUUUUACUCCGUGAGUAUGAUGUGAUCUGAGCAUCCAGUAAAUAAAGUCCCAUGUCAGCAAAAAUGCAGUGUGACAAAGUCGUUAAAGUGCGUCAACACAGUGGAGUUUAAAGAACAAUCUCUGAGUGAAGUGAGGUUAGUUUUUUGUCCAACUGCAGAUAUAAAAACUAACUCUGCAUCAGUCAUAUACAGCGAAGCUCACUGACACUCAUCUGUAUGAGCGUGAGCGUCCGAAAGCUGAUAAAAUCACCUGUAAAAUAAUUAAAACACAAGUAAAAUGCUCCUUUGCUUUUUAGAGUCCACAUCCAGAAGGCUGGAGCCGUAUUUCACUGACAGGCUGUCAGACUAAAACCCUGAUGAGCUCAGCUGGGACAAACUCUGGUCUGAUGUUUAGGAACACAAAACACUCAGAUGUUGGAGCUUCACGUCACCUACUGAGGAAGGAGACCCACCAGUAAAGAGAUGGUAGCUGGACCAGACCAAAAAUAUGGCGGUGAUAUCAUGGAACUGGUCUUUGGAAAAGUUUUCCCUGAACCAACUCCGUUUCUAGAUGAGGUAGAGAAGAUUAGCAUCCCACCAAUCUUCUGGUCUCAGUAAUCAGACGAUGGAGGUCUCCCACUGUUAUCCAGGACCAGUUUGAAGCCCACAUACAGCCCCUCCCUCAUCAUCAGGAAACAUCAAUCCGUAUCCUGAGGACAACAGAAGACGGCAGGAGGACAGGAACUCUGAGACCUAGAUACCACCAGCACUGGGACACAAAGCACCUGUGUGUACAACGCCUACUAAAGCCUAUUUAUUAUAUUGUUCUGCUUCUUUGCUGUGAGGUUAAUACUUAGAAAAGUUGUAUAUUAAUAUAAACAAUAAAAAAAAUCACUGAUAGUACGUUUCCUCUUAGAUGUAAUGUCAGCCUUGUAAACAUUUAUUGCAUCCUGUAGGUAAAUACACAGAACAGGCUCAGAUCCAUGAUGAUCCAGCAUGCUUCUUCAUUCUGGCUUUCAUCUAAUGUAUUUAUUUAGAAUGCAGGUAAGAUUUAACUAUAUUUGUUAGCAAAGCAGACUGAUCUUGGGAAUUUCUCCGCAGCACUGAUUUCUCAACCUCUGUGUACAUGUUAGAAUUAACACGGUUACAGCUAAACACACACUUAAUUAAGAUAUAGGCUAUGAAUUGCAGACAAUAAAAACGUAAAGAUGUAAGCAUUAGAAUGAUAAUAAUCACAUUAAAGAACAUUUGGAGAAAUGUACUUUAUUUGUGACUAGAAUCUCAAACCUUUAAAUCAAAAUGUAACUGCUUUUUAUCCAUUUUCAGCCAUUAAGACACCCAAUAUAAAAUAAGACUACUUAUAAAAUUAUUUAUAAUUAUAUGUAUGUAUAUAUAUAGAUAGAGAUCUUAAUAAAAUGUAUUCUUUUAAUGGUGUUUUAAUGAGCUGUAUCAUUUUUUAAAACAUUUUUUAUAGAAAUAAAUAAGCAAGCAGCAUUCCUUGUGUGUGUGUGUG